GGGUUGUGAGGUUAAGCGACUAAGCGUACACGGUGGAUGCCCUGGCAGUCAGAGGCGAUGAAGGACGUGCUAAUCUGCGAUAAGCGUCGGUAAGGUGAUAUGAACCGUUAUAACCGGCGAUUUCCGAAUGGGGAAACCCAGUGUGAUUCGUCACACUAUCAUUAACUGAAUCCAUAGGUUAAUGAGGCGAACCGGGGGAACUGAAACAUCUAAGUACCCCGAGGAAAAGAAAUCAACCGAGAUUCCCCCAGUAGCGGCGAGCGAACGGGGAGGAGCCCAGAGCCUGAAUCAGUGUGUGUGUUAGUGGAAGCGUCUGGAAAGGCGCGCGAUACAGGGUGACAGCCCCGUACACAAAAAUGCACAUGCUGUGAGCUCGAUGAGUAGGGCGGGACACGUGGUAUCCUGUCUGAAUAUGGGGGGACCAUCCUCCAAGGCUAAAUACUCCUGACUGACCGAUAGUGAACCAGUACCGUGAGGGAAAGGCGAAAAGAACCCCGGCGAGGGGAGUGAAAAAGAACCUGAAACCGUGUACGUACAAGCAGUGGGAGCACGCUUAGGCGUGUGACUGCGUACCUUUUGUAUAAUGGGUCAGCGACUUAUAUUCUGUAGCAAGGUUAACCGAAUAGGGGAGCCGAAGGGAAACCGAGUCUUAACUGGGCGUUAAGUUGCAGGGUAUAGACCCGAAACCCGGUGAUCUAGCCAUGGGCAGGUUGAAGGUUGGGUAACACUAACUGGAGGACCGAACCGACUAAUGUUGAAAAAUUAGCGGAUGACUUGUGGCUGGGGGUGAAAGGCCAAUCAAACCGGGAGAUAGCUGGUUCUCCCCGAAAGCUAUUUAGGUAGCGCCUCGUGAAUUCAUCUCCGGGGGUAGAGCACUGUUUCGGCAAGGGGGUCAUCCCGACUUACCAACCCGAUGCAAACUGCGAAUACCGGAGAAUGUUAUCACGGGAGACACACGGCGGGUGCUAACGUCCGUCGUGAAGAGGGAAACAACCCAGACCGCCAGCUAAGGUCCCAAAGUCAUGGUUAAGUGGGAAACGAUGUGGGAAGGCCCAGACAGCCAGGAUGUUGGCUUAGAAGCAGCCAUCAUUUAAAGAAAGCGUAAUAGCUCACUGGUCGAGUCGGCCUGCGCGGAAGAUGUAACGGGGCUAAACCAUGCACCGAAGCUGCGGCAGCGACGCUGAUGCGUUGUUGGGUAGGGGAGCGUUCUGUAAGCCUGCGAAGGUGUGCUGUGAGGCAUGCUGGAGGUAUCAGAAGUGCGAAUGCUGACAUAAGUAACGAUAAAGCGGGUGAAAAGCCCGCUCGCCGGAAGACCAAGGGUUCCUGUCCAACGUUAAUCGGGGCAGGGUGAGUCGACCCCUAAGGCGAGGCCGAAAGGCGUAGUCGAUGGGAAACAGGUUAAUAUUCCUGUACUUGGUGUUACUGCGAAGGGGGGACGGAGAAGGCUAUGUUGGCCGGGCGACGGUUGUCCCGGUUUAAGCGUGUAGGCUGGUUUUCCAGGCAAAUCCGGAAAAUCAAGGCUGAGGCGUGAUGACGAGGCACUACGGUGCUGAAGCAACAAAUGCCCUGCUUCCAGGAAAAGCCUCUAAGCAUCAGGUAACAUCAAAUCGUACCCCAAACCGACACAGGUGGUCAGGUAGAGAAUACCAAGGCGCUUGAGAGAACUCGGGUGAAGGAACUAGGCAAAAUGGUGCCGUAACUUCGGGAGAAGGCACGCUGAUAUGUAGGUGAAGUCCCUCGCGGAUGGAGCUGAAAUCAGUCGAAGAUACCAGCUGGCUGCAACUGUUUAUUAAAAACACAGCACUGUGCAAACACGAAAGUGGACGUAUACGGUGUGACGCCUGCCCGGUGCCGGAAGGUUAAUUGAUGGGGUCAGCGCAAGCGAAGCUCUUGAUCGAAGCCCCGGUAAACGGCGGCCGUAACUAUAACGGUCCUAAGGUAGCGAAAUUCCUUGUCGGGUAAGUUCCGACCUGCACGAAUGGCGUAAUGAUGGCCAGGCUGUCUCCACCCGAGACUCAGUGAAAUUGAACUCGCUGUGAAGAUGCAGUGUACCCGCGGCAAGACGGAAAGACCCCGUGAACCUUUACUAUAGCUUGACACUGAACAUUGAGCCUUGAUGUGUAGGAUAGGUGGGAGGCUUUGAAGUGUGGACGCCAGUCUGCAUGGAGCCGACCUUGAAAUACCACCCUUUAAUGUUUGAUGUUCUAACGUUGACCCGUGAUCCGGGUUGCGGACAGUGUCUGGUGGGUAGUUUGACUGGGGCGGUCUCCUCCUAAAGAGUAACGGAGGAGCACGAAGGUUGGCUAAUCCUGGUCGGACAUCAGGAGGUUAGUGCAAUGGCAUAAGCCAGCUUGACUGCGAGCGUGACGGCGCGAGCAGGUGCGAAAGCAGGUCAUAGUGAUCCGGUGGUUCUGAAUGGAAGGGCCAUCGCUCAACGGAUAAAAGGUACUCCGGGGAUAACAGGCUGAUACCGCCCAAGAGUUCAUAUCGACGGCGGUGUUUGGCACCUCGAUGUCGGCUCAUCACAUCCUGGGGCUGAAGUAGGUCCCAAGGGUAUGGCUGUUCGCCAUUUAAAGUGGUACGCGAGCUGGGUUUAGAACGUCGUGAGACAGUUCGGUCCCUAUCUGCCGUGGGCGCUGGAGAACUGAGGGGGGCUGCUCCUAGUACGAGAGGACCGGAGUGGACGCAUCACUGGUGUUCGGGUUGUCAUGCCAAUGGCACUGCCCGGUAGCUAAAUGCGGAAGAGAUAAGUGCUGAAAGCAUCUAAGCACGAAACUUGCCCCGAGAUGAGUUCUCCCUGACUCCUUGAGAGUCCUGAAGGAACGUUGAAGACGACGACGUUGAUAGGCCGGGUGUGUAAGCGCAGCGAUGCGUUGAGCUAACCGGUACUAAUGAACCGUGAGGCUUAACCUUACAACGCCGAAG
This 2925-nucleotide ribosomal RNA is filed under the name Escherichia coli. RNAcentral's name for it is "partial 23S ribosomal RNA". It matches the Rfam family "Bacterial large subunit ribosomal RNA". Lineage: Bacteria; Pseudomonadati; Pseudomonadota; Gammaproteobacteria; Enterobacterales; Enterobacteriaceae. The record is from RNAcentral.